Molecule: ribosomal RNA, 245 nt
Filed under: uncultured bacterium
Lineage: Bacteria
Description: partial 16S ribosomal RNA
Rfam family: Bacterial small subunit ribosomal RNA
Source: RNAcentral
UACGGAGGGUGCAAGCGUUAUCCGGAUUCACUGGGUUUAAAGGGUGCGUAGGCGGAUCUGUAAGUCAGUGGUGAAAUCUCCAGGCUUAACCUGGAAACUGCCGUUGAUACUAUAGAUCUUGAAUGUUGUGGAGGUUAGCGGAAUAUGUCAUGUAGCGGUGAAAUGCAUAGAUAUGACAUAGAACACCAAUUGCGAAGGCAGCUGGCUACACAAAUAUUGACGCUGAGGCACGAAAGCGUGGGGAU